RNAcentral lists this ribosomal RNA (301 nucleotides) under uncultured bacterium. Its description in RNAcentral is "partial 16S ribosomal RNA". It matches the Rfam family "Bacterial small subunit ribosomal RNA", at positions 509 to 807 of the family's 1533-position model. The record is from RNAcentral.
CAGUAGCCGCGGUAAUACGAAGGGGGCUAGCGCUGUUCGGAUUUACUGGGCGUAAAGGGCGCGUAGGCGGACUGAUAAGUCAGGGGUGAAAUCCCAAGGCUCAACCUUGGAACUGCCUUUGAUACUGUUUGUCUUGAGUUCGAGAGAGGUAAGUGGAACUGCGAGUAUAGAGGUGAAAUUCGUAGAUAAUCGCAAGAACACCAGUGGCGAAGGCGGCUUACUGGCUCGAAACUGACGCUGAGGCGCGAAAGCGUGGGGAGCAAACAGGAUUAGAUACCCCGGUAGUCCCUGUCUCUUAUAC